GAUGAACGCUGGCGGCGUGCCUAAUACAUGCAAGUCGAGCGAACAGACGAGGAGCUUGCUCCUCUGACGUUAGCGGCGGACGGGUGAGUAACACGUGGAUAACCUACCUAUAAGACUGGGAUAACUUCAGGAAACCGGAGCUAAUACCGGAUAAUAUAUUGAACCGCAUGGUUCAAUAGUGAAAGACGGUUUUGCUGUCACUUAUAGAUGGAUCCGCGCCGCAUUAGCUAGUUGGUAAGGUAACGGCUUACCAAGGCAACGAUGCGUAGCCGACCUGAGAGGGUGAUCGGCCACACCGGAACUGAGACACGGUCCAGACUCCUACGGGAGGCAGCAGUAGGGAAUCUUCCGCAAUGGGCGAAAGCCUGACGGAGCAACGCCGCGUGAGUGAUGAAGGUCUUCGGAUCGUAAAACUCUGUUAUUAGGGAAGAACAAAUGUGUAAGUAACUAUGCACGUCUUGACGGUACCUAAUCAGAAAGCCACGGCUAACUACGUG
RNAcentral lists this ribosomal RNA (497 nucleotides) under uncultured bacterium. Its description in RNAcentral is "partial 16S ribosomal RNA". It matches the Rfam family "Bacterial small subunit ribosomal RNA", at positions 28 to 507 of the family's 1533-position model. The record is from RNAcentral.